UAAUACGGAGGGUCCAAGCGUUGUCCGGAUUUAUUGGGUUUAAAGAGUGCGUAGGUGGUUUAUUAAGUCAGUGGUGAAAUCCUGCAGCUCAACUGUAGAACUGCCAUUGAUACUGAUAAACUUGAGUUUGGUUUAGGUAAGUGGAAUUUAUGAUGUAGCGGUGAAAUGCAUAGAUAUCAUAAGGAACACCAAUAGCGAAGGCAGCUUACUGGACCACAACUGACACUGAGGCACGAAAGCGUGGGCAGCGAACAGGAUUAGAUACCCUGGUAGUCCACGCCGUAAACGAUGCUCACUCGAUGUUAGCGAUAUACUGUUAGCGUCCAAGCUAAAGCGUUAAGUGAGCCACCUGGGGAGUACGCCGGCAACGGUG
RNAcentral lists this ribosomal RNA (373 nucleotides) under uncultured Bacteroidota bacterium. Its description in RNAcentral is "bacterial SSU rRNA". It matches the Rfam family "Bacterial small subunit ribosomal RNA", at positions 521 to 896 of the family's 1533-position model. Lineage: Bacteria; Pseudomonadati; Bacteroidota. The record is from RNAcentral.